Molecule: long non-coding RNA, 201 nt
Filed under: Elaeis guineensis (African oil palm)
Lineage: Eukaryota; Viridiplantae; Streptophyta; Magnoliopsida; Arecales; Arecaceae
Description: long non-coding RNA (EGUI_LNC057444)
Source: RNAcentral
UCAAGGGCAUGAAAGAAAGAGAAAAAUAUUCUCUCUUAUAUAUGAAAAAUUGAGAAGAAAGUGUUCUUCUCUUGAUCUCUAUUGUAGAGAUCAGAUGCAUCGAUCCAGAAAGAAAAAGAGAGGGUCUCUUUAUUCUUCAAUUCCAUCAUAUUUCUCUAAAAUCAACCAAUGGAUGGUGUCUUCACGGGCUAGCACUCCCGG